CCUACGGGAGGCAGCAGUGGGGGAUAUUGCACAAUGGGGGGAACCCUGAUGCAGCGACGCCGCGUGGGUGAAGGAGCGUUUCGGCGCGUAAAGCCCUAUCGGCAGGGAAGAAGAAGGACGGUACCUGACUAAGAAGCCCCGGCUAACUACGUGCCAGCAGCCGCGGUAAUACGUAGGGGGCAAGCGUUAUCCGGAUUUACUGGGUGUAAGGGGGGCGCAGACGGCAGCGCAAGCCAGGAGUGAAAGCCCGGGGCCCAACCCCGGGACUGCUCUUGGAACUGCGCGGCUGGAGUGCAGGAGGGGCAGGCGGAAUUCCUGGUGUAGCGGUGAAAUGCGUAGAUAUCAGGAGGAACACCGGUGGCGAAGGCGGCCUGCUGGACUGCGACUGACGUUGAGGCCCGAAAGCGUGGGGAGCAAACAGGAUUAGAUACCCUUGUAGUC
Molecule: ribosomal RNA, 441 nt
Filed under: uncultured bacterium
Lineage: Bacteria
Description: partial 16S ribosomal RNA
Rfam family: Bacterial small subunit ribosomal RNA
Source: RNAcentral